Loxodonta africana (African savanna elephant) is the source of this 3698-nucleotide long non-coding RNA. RefSeq lists it as uncharacterized. The record is from RefSeq and is a predicted model, not a curated record. Lineage: Eukaryota; Metazoa; Chordata; Mammalia; Proboscidea; Elephantidae. The transcript has 4 exons.
GGAACCGUUGCUUCCCAGGAGCUUACCGAGCAGCGACAGGAGCAGCGCCUCGUACGUUUCUAAGGAGCGGUCCAUGGUCGCGGCGCUGGGAGCAGACGCUAAAUGAGGAUGAGUGGCACCUCCUGAUGCAGAUGCUGGCAGAAGGGAAUUUGACAGCAGGUCCUGCAACCCAGCCACACCUGAUGCCCUAAGCUUGGAAGGUACCUGAGAACUUGACAAUGGUCUUUGCUCGAAGAUCGUAGAGACCAAGAGGUUUAAGUAGUUCUGACACAUCUCUCCAGUCUGCUGUUCUUGCCACCUCGGCUGAAGGGUACUUCUCCAGAAACUUCCAAAGCACAGGCUCCACUAGGACAAAGAUUAAAAGAAUCCACAAACCUGAGGUUCGAUUGAGAAAUAUAGUCGCUAUGAGGAGUUUCCACGGAUCAUGAAAAAGUGUUUCCUGAACGAGAUUAAAAGGUGACCGAGGAGGUGUCCACUUCUUAAAGGCUUUUCGUCUUGGGGGGCUAAGAGCUAAACAAAUGUACCGCGUCAGAAAUGAACACCUCAAAUGGAUUUAACAUCUGAUUUUCUGAUUGAGAAAGCAAUACCUUCUUUGUUAUAUUUGCUGGAAAAAUACAGGCUUGUUUUCCUUUUUUCUACUUGUGUUCGUGGAACAGGUGUGUCUUCUGAAAAGGAAGAGUGAAUACUGUUCAUAGACCAGAUGGUUUAGCCUAACUAUAGGCUAAAUAAUAACAAAAUAAUAAUACCACUACUUACAAAGCAUUUAGUAUGUGCCAGGCACUUUACAUAAGUUAAGCCACUUAAUUCUACUAAUGACCUAUGAGGUUGAUACUCUUUUAUCUCCACAUUACAGAUAAGGAAAUUGAGGUACAGAAAAGUGAAGUUACUUGUCCAAGGUCACAUAGCUAGUGAGUGUCAGAGCUGAAAUUCAAAUCCAGGCAGCCCGGCUACUGAGGCCAUGCCUUUACCAUCACUGUUAUACUAGUUCUCAAUGAUUUAUGUUCAGUGUUCACAGUAUUGAAAAAUUGGAAAUAUGGAAUAUUCAAAAUUAUGGUGACCGUACAAUGUGAUCAUUAAAAUAUUUUUGUAACUACAUCAUGAGUAUUUUCCCAUGUCAUUAACUUUUAAGUAAAAAGGUAAGAUUCUACAUACAGUAAAACCUGUGAAACCUGGAACCUGUGGAAGGCAGAAACAUACCAGAGAAGGAAAACACAAAUAUUUUCCACUAAAAGGAGUGACAGAAAGGUGGUAAGACUGCACUGCACCCUGUCAAAGGCGAAAAUUUGCAAGACCCAGAAAAACAAGGCAGUCCCGUCAAGUUUCGGCUCUCACAGGUUUCACUGUAUAAUCCAAAUUCUAUAACAAAGAAGAAAAAUAUAUAGCUAUAGAGAUUAGAAUAAAAUAAACCAAAAUGGUAUAAUCGUUGUUAUUGAGCAGUGAUUUUUAUUUUCUUCUUUAAUUUUCCAUAUUUUUCAAAAUUUCUACAGGGAACACUUCCACAGUAAUCAAAAAAGGGAUGCAGACAAUACAGAACCUGCAGAAAAAUCUAAGCGCUUCUGAUUAGAUUUGGGCCCUGGGAUACCUAUGACUACUAUCUACUGGGAUGCUCCAUUAAUUCAACAAAGACUAUCUGAAAAACAUUAUCAGAUUUCCCAAGUUUCUAAAAUCAUCCGUUAAUACUCCAUUUAGCCAUAAAAAUAAAUAAAAAAUAUCAUACCCUCUAAAUUUGAAUAUCAGCUAACAAUAUCUUACAUUUGUGUAGCCUGACAUCAUCUUGUUCACUUCUCAUUUUACCUUAUAACAUUUUUGAUGUGGCAAACAGGACUAAUGAGUGCUGUUACCUCCACUGUAUACAUGAAGAAACGAAGACUUAGAAAUUAAACAACCAUCUCAAAAUGAUACUGGGAUUGACAACUGACUGAGAUAAGAAUGCAGAUCUCCAGGUUAGUCUAGUGGUUUUUUUGCUAUUCCAGUUUCAACAGGUAAAGCCCAGUAGAAGGUAAAAAACAGAAUAAAGGAAACUGCUCUUACUCACUCAUCAUUUUCUCUGUGGGGUCCUACAAAUAAUGACUAACUAGCCUUUUAUUCCUAGGAAACCUAAGCUCAGUUUAUUUGGCAAUUUCUAGCUAAGCCAAUGGGAAACUCUCUACUAUUCCACUGGAUACCUAUUAACUUAAGGACAUUUCAUCUUAUGAUGAGAACUCAACUUCUUUAUGUAUGGGAUGAAAAGGACACUCCCAUUUUAGUUGCAAAAGGACUUUUUAAUAUUUAAUUUGCCCAUACUCAUAAUAAAUAUAUGUAAGCCUCAAAACUUUACUUAAGAAGCUCCAAGUCUUUAAGGAGAGACUUCAUUCUUAUGCAUUUCCUAGAUGCAUACGGCCAUCUUCUAUAAAGGUAGAGAAAGUCUGGGGACAGAAAAGACAUAAAAUCAUGGUUGGGUUUAAGAGCAGGAAUUAAGUUGUAACCCCCUGCUCUACCAAUUUGUGCAGGCUGUCUCCCCACAGGAUUUUAAGUAAAAUUACUAUUCUUUAAAGGAGUUAUUCAUUAUAUCAUAAUGGCAUAAUGAAUAACUAAUACAGGGCUGCUCCAAAGGUCUCCUUUUUAUCACUUAUUCACUGAGGUAUCAUAAAAGCAAAACUGCUAAACUCUCAACUCUGUAUUAAGAGCAUAUUACAAAUAAUAGAUGAACUAUGGGAUUACAGUUUUGAAUUAUUUAGAGCUCUAAAGCAUUUUAGAGAAGCAUUACAUUAUAAUUGAAGAUAAAAAUCACAAUGAUAUAAUAUGCAAAAUUAAAUUAGAAGUCACGUAUCAGCAGUAAGUAACAGGAGGGGUACAGGAGAAGACACUGACCAGUCUAUGUAUAAAAGGCAUCCUCCCUAAAUCUUUUCACAAGUAGUCUUUUAAUUUUCCUUAAAGUCUUAACAUUACUGGCUAGAAAGAGGACGGGAAGAGGGGAAAGCUCUGUUGAGAAGAAGAGUCCCAGAUGCCGCGCCAGGGAGAUGGCUGCAGCUGUUAAUCAUACAACUCUCCUUUGCUGGGGACAUCUAGGUUGAAUCCAGCUGAAUUCCUCUCUGCCAUGGGAAAGGACUUGAAUCAGCUGGACAGCUCAUACAUAGUUCAGUUAGACAAGAUAUCAGGAUCGACUACUAGAAUAUAUGAUAUUUGGCCCCAUUUCUUGGCUGUAUUCACACAUCCUAACUGUGUAGAGGCAUGACACAAGAUCCAGAGGAAAAGUCCUCAUCAUACAAUGGUUAAUAGCAUUUUAAAGCAACGAAUACCUUGAAAUUUUUUCACAGAAGUAAAGUUUUUCUCGGCUGGUGAGCUGCUGUUGUCCAUCCCAGAGUCACAUUCUAAAAUGUCAACAUGCAAAUGUUUCUUCCUCUCUCCAACUUCUACUUCGGUUCUGAUUUCCUCAGAGUCUAAAAAGGUAGUCUCACAUUUCUUGCUGUGUUCUGCUUCUUUGGUCAGACAUAAUUUGUUUAUGCUGCUAGAGGUUAUUUUUUCAAAAUCAAAAUCUGAUUCAGGUUGCAAUGAUUUCUCCUUUACAAGCCUCUUUUCUUCAUUUGUCACAAUGAGGGUCUCAUCACUUGCUUUGACAUCGGAAGUGCAGUGAGUUCUAUCAAGCUGACUCUCUUGGGAAACAGGCUCACCUUCAACAUCUGCUUCAUUGUACACAGAUUCUCUUUUUCUAUUACUUU